GGAACCUUUUCUUAACAGAAAUUUGGAACCAAAUCCGGAAGGGGGAAACCUGAAGCUUCAAUCUCCUGUCAAAGCCGAUUUGUCCAGCGAAGGUGAUUUCUUGCGCGCGAAACUUGAUUCCAAGGGAAAGGAUAUAGUUGAGACUUAAGCGCUUUGAGGUUGAGCGGCGACGAGCGGUUGGCGGUGUUGAGCAAAUUAAAUGAAGAAUUAAAUAUUGAUAUAUUUUGACUACGAGUGUCGUUGUGUCUUCAUACAUGACGUCACUUUUCUCUUGGAUGCUUCCGCUGAAACCCGUUUUACUUAUUGUUGAAUUCUCGAAACUAUUUUGAUUUCGUUUAAAAUCUAAAGACAUGAUAUGUUUUGGAAUACGUUGAACCCUCAUUAUUUUGAAAUAAAUGGUGAUAAUUGUUUCCUCUA
Molecule: long non-coding RNA, 417 nt
Organism: Salvia splendens (bonfire salvia)
Lineage: Eukaryota; Viridiplantae; Streptophyta; Magnoliopsida; Lamiales; Lamiaceae
Exons: 3
Source: RefSeq, a predicted model, not a curated record